RNAcentral lists this ribosomal RNA (253 nucleotides) under uncultured bacterium. Its description in RNAcentral is "partial 16S ribosomal RNA". It matches the Rfam family "Bacterial small subunit ribosomal RNA", at positions 524 to 776 of the family's 1533-position model. The record is from RNAcentral. RNAcentral also lists the same sequence under 1 other name.
UACAGAGGGUGCAAGCGUUAAUCGGAUUUACUGGGCGUAAAGCGUGCGUAGGCGGCUAUUUAAGUCGGAUGUGAAAGCCCUGGGCUUAACCUGGGAACUGCAUUCGAUACUGGGUAGCUGGAGAUCGGUAGAGGGCGGCGGAAUUCCGGGUGUAGCGGUGAAAUGCGUAGAUAUCCGGAGGAACACCGAUGGCGAAGGCAACCGCCUGGGCCUGAUCUGACGCUGAGGCACGAAAGCGUGGGGAGCAAACAGG